Molecule: long non-coding RNA, 203 nt
Filed under: Gossypium raimondii (Peruvian cotton)
Lineage: Eukaryota; Viridiplantae; Streptophyta; Magnoliopsida; Malvales; Malvaceae
Description: long non-coding RNA (GRAI_LNC001262)
Source: RNAcentral
GGGCGUGUGGAGUGUACAUGGGGUCUAAGGUUUGAGUGGUGGCGCAUCAAAAAGGGAGUAUUUAUUUUGCUGCCUAAUUCGUGUGGGUGGUAGAGUUGGAUUGAAAUACUGCUAAAUGGAGUUUGAACUGGUCAUAGAGAGAAUUGAGGAGAGAAUAUUGGGAUUUGGGGAGGUUUUUGUUGUGAAGAGAUAUAUAUCAUCUC